ACUUAAAUAGUUUAAUAAAAACAUUGAUUUGUGGAAUCAAAAAUAUAUAAUAUAUUUUAAGUU
This 63-nucleotide transfer RNA is filed under the name Phloiophilus edwardsi. RNAcentral describes it as "tRNA-His". Lineage: Eukaryota; Metazoa; Arthropoda; Insecta; Coleoptera; Phloiophilidae. The record is from RNAcentral.